CGAAUGGGGAAACCCAGCAUGAGUUAUGUCAUGUUAUCGAUAUGUGAAUACAUAGCAUAUCAGAAGGCACACCCGGAGAACUGAAACAUCUUAGUACCCGGAGGAAGAGAAAGAAAAUUCGAUUCCCUUAGUAGCGGCGAGCGAAACGGGAAGAGCCCAAACCAACAAGCUUGCUUGUUGGGGUUGUAGGACACUCUAUACGGAGUUACAAAGGACGACAUUAGACGAAUCAUCUGGAAAGAUGAAUCAAAGAAGGUAAUAAUCCUGUAGUCGAAAAUGUUGUCUCUCUUGAGUGGAUCCUGAGUACGACGGAGCACGUGAAAUUCCGUCGGAAUCUGGGAGGACCAUCUCCUAAGGCUAAAUACUCUCUAGUGACCGAUAGUGAACCAGUACCGUGAGGGAAAGGUGAAAAGCACCCCGGAAGGGGAGUGAAAUAGAACCUGAAACCGUGUGCUUACAAGUAGUCAGAGCCCGUUAAUGGGUGAUGGCGUGCCUUUUGUAGAAUGAACCGGCGAGUUACGAUUUGAUGCAAGGUUAAGCAGUAAAUGUGGAGCCGUAGCGAAAGCGAGUCUGAAUAGGGCGUUUAGUAUUUGGUCGUAGACCCGAAACCAGGUGAUCUACCCUUGGUCAGGUUGAAGUUCAGGUAACACUGAAUGGAGGACCGAACCGACUUACGUUGAAAAGUGAGCGGAUGAACUGAGGGUAGCGGAGAAAUUCCAAUCGAACCUGGAGAUAGCUGGUUCUCUCCGAAAUAGCUUUAGGGCUAGCCUCAAGUGAUGAUUAUUGGAGGUAGAGCACUGUUUGGACGAGGGGCCCCUCUCGGGUUACCGAAUUCAGACAAACUCCGAAUGCCAAUUAAUUUAACUUGGGAGUCAGAACAUGGGUGAUAAGGUCCGUGUUCGAAAGGGAAACAGCCCAGACCACCAGCUAAGGUCCCAAAAUAUAUGUUAAGUGGAAAAGGAUGUGGCGUUGCCCAGACAACUAGGAUGUUGGCUUAGAAGCAGCCAUCAUUUAAAGAGUGCGUAAUAGCUCACUAGUCGAGUGACACUGCGCCGA
RNAcentral lists this ribosomal RNA (1056 nucleotides) under Staphylococcus aureus. RNAcentral's name for it is "partial 23S ribosomal RNA". It matches the Rfam family "Bacterial large subunit ribosomal RNA", at positions 115 to 1167 of the family's 2925-position model. Lineage: Bacteria; Bacillati; Bacillota; Bacilli; Caryophanales; Staphylococcaceae. The record is from RNAcentral.